This 3640-nucleotide long non-coding RNA is filed under the name Ananas comosus (pineapple). RNAcentral describes it as "long non-coding RNA (ACOM_LNC021006)". Lineage: Eukaryota; Viridiplantae; Streptophyta; Magnoliopsida; Poales; Bromeliaceae. The record is from RNAcentral.
UCACACCUAUACAUCAUCUACUCUCAAGUAUGUACAAGGUAGCUCUAAUGCAAAGGGUAAGAAAGCUACUACUACAACCUCUAGGGCACUAAGCCCUUACCGCGAUCAACUGCCGGUCCGCUCUCGUGUGUACCUGUACCCCAAAACCACACGGGGUGAGAACUCCAUAAAUAUAGUUCCCAGUGGGUUCGGCCGCCGACUCCGCCGAUCUUCCCACUAGGUCUAAGUAGGCAUAGAAAGACAGAUAGAUAGAUAGAUAGAUAGAUAGAUAGCUAUGCGGAAAUGAAAGCAGUAUCAACAUAGUAUAAAACGAUAUGAGUAUCAAACUAUGCCUCAAUCUAAUGCUAUGGAUGCAUGCACUACAUAGUGAAAUGCUAACUACCACACCACUAUGUCCAACAACGAUGCUAUUCAUCACAUCACCCAAUCCAUUACGUUACCCCGCCUAAGACUUCAAAUAUUGGAGGUGAAGAGUUACCCCGCUCUUGUCUCACCCAAUUCAUAUAUCUCUAAGGUCAUAGGCAAAGAGCUACCCCGCUCCUCGCCUGACUCAAGCUCAAAGGUUCAAGGCAAAGAGCUACCCCGCUCCUCGCCCGACUCAAUCUCGAUCUCAUAGAUACAAUGCUGCUCCACUCAAAUCUCAUAGUAAAGACCAACCACCACACUACUAUAUGUUCAAUAGUUUACCCAAUCACUCAACUAGCCUAGAGGCUCACUCUCAAUCUCACGUCUAUAAUAUAGGUGCCACACCUACUCUCAGCCACAUUGGUGAGGAUCCACUCACUCACCCCAGACCAUCUACGGGACCCCAAAAGGCUAUCCCUCAACCUAAUCUCAAUGGGGAGGAUCCACUCACUCGCCCAAUUCUCGACAUAGGUGCCACGACUCAAUCUCAAUAUAGUGGGUGAGGAACCGCUUACUCAAGGUGAGAACUACUCACUCAACCAACUCUCCAUCUCAUGGGUGAGGAACCGCUCACACAAGGUGAGAACUACUCACUCAACCAAGAUCGUCUGCGGGGCCCAAAAAGGCUAACCCCUCGGGACCCAAAAAGCUAUCCCUAUCGUGUGACAACUCCGGAGUGCACUGCUUGUGUGAAGCGACCACACCAAGCUUCGAACAGACGUGUGAGUACGAUCAAAUCUCCGUCACUGAGGAUACCCUACCAUCUAGGGUUAACAACAUAACUCUUUGGGCCCGUUUGGUUCGAGUUAUGUAAUAUUACAAAGUAUCUCGACAUAUCCAGGUAUCUUGGAUUUCGGCGUGAGAUUACUACUAAUGUUACAUUAGAGCGUUUGGUUUAAUACAGUAAUGUAAUACUAGAUUACAGUGUUUAUAGCAUUAAUAUGUUUGGUUCAGUUUAUAAAAUUUAGUAAUCCUGACAUAAAAGUAUAGUUUUUUCCAAAAUUGCCCUUGUUGUGGUCAUUUGAAUAUUAUUUUUUGCGGAAAUGACGAAUGGAGGGAAGGAGAUCGUGAUGAUUAUUUGGGAGGACGACGCAAUAGAAGAUGAUAGGUGUUCAUGUGAGAGAGAGAGAGAGAGAGAGAGAGAGACGUCCAGAGAGAGAGAGCGAGAGAAAGCGGCGUGCGAGAGAGAGGGCCGGGGGGAAGGCGAGAUAGAGAUGAAAAUAAUGCUGUUAAUUAGAUUUGGGGUUGUUGGAGGGUAAAAUUGUCAUUUUACAUAAUAUGUAGUAUUAACGGGUUUCAGUAAUGCAAGAUACACGACCCCCCUCCCAUUAAUAUUUUCGAUGUAAUCCUGCUCGAUUUGUAAUCCUACAUUAACAACUAGAUUACAUAGCGGAUUAACCAAACAUAGUUAUCCUGGCAGGAUUGCCUGUAAUCCUGCCAGGAUAACUCGAACCAAACGCACCCUUUAGGUUCUCUAUCAAACCGUAACUAGGGAAAUUCAUCUAUCCCUACGAUCAAUACCAAGUGUCACCUACACUAAGUCCGAUGCCACUCGUCAUAUUAUUUACUUAUCUAGAUGCCACUCGUUCUUUGGUUCUCGUCAACACAAGAUUAAGGUCAUUACUUACUUUACCACUAUAGGGUUCGAGGUCACAAUUCCCCUAUUCUUAUGCAUCCUAAGUCAAGUGCCAAACUCAAGUUGCUACACUACUAAGGAUCAUGUCAACAUUUACCAUCUCAUUAUAGGGUUUCUAACCAAUAUAUCCCAAUCUCAUGCAUACAAGGCUCAAGUGUUAAACAAGUAAUACAACACUACCUCUAGCAUGCAAGAAUAUAUAACAACUAAUUAAGCACCCUAUAAUGCAUCAUGCUCAAUAUGCAUAAUUGAUCAACCAUAAUACUUAGACAUAGGGAGAAGCCCAGUUGCUUCGGGAUGACACCCCCCACCUUUUUGGUAGUGCCGCAAGGGUUGAGAAAACUCGACUUCGCGAUCCUAAGUCGCCGCCUCGACUCUUUGGCCAACACAAACCCUCGAACACUUACUUCCGCGAUAUCUCCGCACUCGCUCGUCGUAUCGACGAACCGUCUUUGCCCCCGCGUUUGGAGACCUAGCAAUUAGGUUUACAACCCAUUAAACGAGAUCAAAAUCUUAAACUUUCAAAAACCCCAAAUCCGUGCCCUAGGUUAGCUACGAUGGAGAAAUCCGUGGUUCAAGCUUCGGAUUCGAGCUAGAACCACCUAUUAUACUCCAAUAGGCUCCAUUCGAACCCAUUCUAAAUAAUAAAACCCUAACUCAAGAAAUCCACCAUUGUAGGGUUAGAAGCUUACCUCUCCAAGCUUGCUCCAACAAGAGGAAGAAGAUGAAGAAGAUGAUCUUCUUCCCUGUCUUCUUCUUCUUCUACUCCUUCUCCUUCCUCUUCUUCUCUUUCUUCUUCUCCUUCUUCUUCUUUCUAGAGAGAGAGAGAGAAGAGUGUGAGAGAGUGUGAGGGGCAAAUGAGGGAGUGAGGGGAGAAGAGUGGUCCCCAAGCCUCUAAUAUAGGCAUUUUUGCAAAUAAGCUCCUCAACUUUCCACCUAUGAAGCAGCCUUCACUAGGCACUUUUCGCAGUGAGGGACCGGUCCCAAGUUGGGGAGACCGGUCCCCGAGAGUGUCACGCCCCGCCCCGAGGCCGCUACCGAUUUGGCACGGUUCGGGCGCGGCGGGCGGACCGCCGAACGGACAGAGUCUCCCCUGUCCGCCCAAGGCUCAAAUGACGAGAUUGUGUACAACAAGCUCCCAGGAAAACACUUGAAUACAUACACAAUCAUACAACAACGACGAGAGCACAACCAGUGCUAACAAUCAAGAGCAAGCAUCACAAGUAAUAAACAAGUGAAUAAAAGAGAGAUACUAAGCUAUUACAUCCAUUCAACUCUAAUACAUUUAAUUUCAACUUAGCUUUACAUUCAUCCAAAGCAUAAACUUAAGUUUACAUUUCCAAAAUAGCCUCACACCUAUACAUCAUCUACUCUCCAGUAUAUAGGGUAACAACUAAUGCAAUAGGAAAGCAUCUACCAAUAAGCACUAGGGCGCUAAGCCCUUGCCGCGAUCAUCUGCCGGUCCGCUCUCGUGUGUACCUGUACCCCAAAACCACACGGGGUGAGAACUAUAUAAAUAUAGUUCCCAGUGGGUUCGGCCGCCGACUCCGCCGAUCUUCCCACUAGGUCUAAGCUGGCACAGAUAGAUAGAUAGAAAGA